Molecule: ribosomal RNA, 460 nt
Filed under: uncultured bacterium
Lineage: Bacteria
Description: partial 16S ribosomal RNA
Rfam family: Bacterial small subunit ribosomal RNA
Source: RNAcentral
CCUACGGGGGGCAGCAGUGAGGAAUAUUGGUCAAUGGACGAGAGUCUGAACCAGCCAAGUAGCGUGAAGGAUGACUGCCCUAUGGGUUGUAAACUUCUUUUAUAAAGGAAUAAAACGAGGCACGUGUGCCUUUUUGCAUGUACUUUAUGAAUAAGGAUCGGCUAACUCCGUGCCAGCAGCCGCGGUAAUACGGAGGAUCCGAGCGUUAUCCGGAUUUAUUGGGUUUAAAGGGUGCGUAGAUGGGUUGUUAAGUCAGUCGUGAAAGUUUGCGGCUCAACCGUAAAAUUGCAAUUGAUACUGGUAGUCUUGAGUACAGUUGAGGUAGGCGGAAUUCGUGGUGUAGCGGUGAAAUGCUUAGAUAUCACGAAGAACCCCGAUUGCGAAGGCAGCUUACUAACCUGUGACUGACAUUGAUGCUCGAAAGUGUGGGUAUCAAACAGGAUUAGAUACCCCGGUAGUC